Molecule: unclassified non-coding RNA, 685 nt
Filed under: Hevea brasiliensis (rubber tree)
Lineage: Eukaryota; Viridiplantae; Streptophyta; Magnoliopsida; Malpighiales; Euphorbiaceae
Source: RNAcentral
UGAACUGCCCUUGGCUAUCUGUGCGAUAACCACUCACAACCUAGAAACUGGAAUCACCCUCCCAAGCUAAACCCUGACACUCGUCCCUCUCUUUAAUCAAAUCUAGCAGCUUUUGCCAUUCAUUUUUAUCAACAUCAUAGACCUUCGCCAAUUGCAAUGUGUUUUUCUGACCGUCGUGGCCUCCGACAACAUAAACCUUGGAAGGUCCAACCACAGCACAGGCGAAGAAAGAGCGAGAAACAGACAUUGGAGCCCCACGUCUCCACCUACAGCCACCAGCUCCGAUGAGAUCCACGAUGUACACAUCCAGGACAGGUUCUAGAGCGGUGGGAUCCCAACCACCCAAAAGGAGUACUUUGCCUGAUGACUGAAGUGCCAAACACUGGCAGAACAUGAGGAUUCCACCCUGAGGCCUUGUCCUUUGCCAAGUAUCGUGGGACGUGUUAUAGAUGCUUAGCCCAAAAAGAGGUGGGCUCUGGAUCUGCUUGUCUUCCUUAUUAGUUACGGCAGCAGCGACGGUGGUAGUAGGGGUGGCACUACUGAGGGAGUCAGUGGAAUCCGACUGUGAUAGAGGUCGGACAAGGCAAACAAGAUUCUCUAGAGUGCCAGAUUUGUGCCUUUCUUAAUAAAAAGAAGGGUGGGAAAUAAAGUUUUGCCAAGCAUGGCAAACUGAUUUCAUAUUAGA